This 355-nucleotide ribosomal RNA is filed under the name uncultured bacterium. RNAcentral describes it as "bacterial SSU rRNA". It matches the Rfam family "Bacterial small subunit ribosomal RNA", at positions 29 to 402 of the family's 1533-position model. The record is from RNAcentral.
AACGAACGCUGGCGGCAUGCCUAACACAUGCAAGUCGAACGGGAUCCUAGCUUGCUAGGUGAGAGUGGCGGACGGGUGAGUAACACGUGGGAAUCUGCCUUUUGGUUCGGGAUAACCGCGGGAAACUGCGGCUAAUACCGAAUGCCCUCGAGAGAGGAAAGAUUUAUCGCCAGAAGAGGAGCCCGCGUCCGAUUAGGUAGUUGGUGGGGUAAAAGGCCUACCAAGCCGACGAUCGGUAGCUGGUCUGAGAGGAUGAUCAGCCACACUGGGACUGAGAUACGGCCCAGACUCCUACGGGAGGCAGCAGUGGGGGAAUAUUGGACAAUGGGGCAACCCUGAUCCAGCAAUGCCGCGU